This 224-nucleotide long non-coding RNA is filed under the name Brassica napus (rape). RNAcentral's name for it is "long non-coding RNA (BNAP_LNC019503)". The record is from RNAcentral. Lineage: Eukaryota; Viridiplantae; Streptophyta; Magnoliopsida; Brassicales; Brassicaceae.
CCGAAUAAUGCUCUCUCACCAAAUUCCAAGUCUCUUGAGUGGAAAACCUUGGCCUGAACCCUGUUCUUCCUCUCCAAAGACUAGUAUCAUUACUGUCUAGCUAAAUUUAGCUUCCUCACAGUGAUACUUAACUCAACUUCUAACUCAUUUAGCACACUUAUACGAUGUCUCCUCCUUCUCCUAACACAAAGCACAUCAUCUUCCACCGUCGCUCUCUUCUCCAC